RNAcentral lists this ribosomal RNA (402 nucleotides) under uncultured bacterium. RNAcentral describes it as "bacterial SSU rRNA". It matches the Rfam family "Bacterial small subunit ribosomal RNA", at positions 355 to 774 of the family's 1533-position model. The record is from RNAcentral.
UCGGGAAUUUUGGGCAAUGGGCGAAAGCCUGACCCAGCAACGCCGCGUGAGGGAUGAAGUAUUUCGGUAUGUAAACCUCGAAAGAAUGGGAAGAAUAAAUGACGGUACCAUUUAUAAGCUCCGGCUAACUACGUGCCAGCAGCCGCGGUAAUACGUAGGGAGCAAGCGUUGUUCGGAUUUACUGGGCGUAAAGGGCGCGUAGGCGGCGCGGUAAGUCACUUGUGAAAUCUCUGAGCUUAACUCAGAACGGCCAAGUGAUACUGCUGUGCUAGAGUGCGGAAGGGGCAACCGGAAUUCUUGGUGUAGCGGUGAAAUGCGUAGAUAUCAAGAGGAACACCGGAGUCGAAGGCGGGUUGCUGGGCCGACACUGACGCUGAUGCGCGAAAGCCAGGGGAGCAAACG